This 82-nucleotide ribosomal RNA is filed under the name Balneola sp. Lineage: Bacteria; Pseudomonadati; Balneolota; Balneolia; Balneolales; Balneolaceae. The record is from RNAcentral.
ACCCGUUCCCAUCCCGAACACGGCCGUUAAGCCCUGCAGCGCCGAUGGUACUGCUACGCGGUAGAGUAGGUCGCCGCCUCUC